UUAUUUGAAUUGUGCGUUUUGAACAGUGCAGUUAUAUCAGUUGCCGACAAUUCAUGUCCAGAUUGUACUAUACUACAAUAAUAUCCGAAAGUUCAGUAACCAGUAAGACCUGCUCUACAAAUUAAUUACAGUGAGCAGAACCGCUUGAUGGAGAAAUGAAUGGCGAAAAAUUUGCUUCUUCGACGAACAGUCUCUGACCGAUGUGACAUUUAAAAUUUCAAGCCCAACGGCUCUUGUACCCGCGCAUCGUUUGAUACUCGCAGCAGCGGGUCCCUACUUCGAGAACCUUUCCAAUGGCGUUCAAGGCAAUAAUCCCGUCAUCGAGAUAAAUGAUAUCGAUAGCGAUAUGUUUUUGCGUCCAAAACCUUUUGUUUCUACGGUCAUGCCUUGAAAAGUUGUAUGGAAGCAUAAUCACCCUGUAAAGUGUAUUCAUCGAUAUGUGCCAUGAGUCAGCCAAAGCGAUGAGUUUCCAAAUUUCGAUGUUGAAAAAAUGCAACGUAUUCUGGAAUCUGAUAAUUUGAAUAUAACUCGUGAGGAAGAUGAUUUCGAUGCCGUUAACCGUUGGUUCGAUUACAAUGUUCUUGAGCGUCAUGGACAACUGCUACUUUUAAUAGCUUGUCGCCAGCUUACCCAAGUCGAAGUGAACUUUCUGUUGACACACAUACAUACACUACCUGGUUGAGAGCUGCUGGCCGUGGAUCAGAAAGCCUGCACCGCGAUCAAAAAUAAAUAUGCGAUUUACAGAACCACGUGGGAUCGGUGCUGCUUAUUC
RNAcentral lists this long non-coding RNA (772 nucleotides) under Bactrocera tryoni. RNAcentral's name for it is "uncharacterized LOC120779329, transcript variant X1". The record is from RNAcentral. Lineage: Eukaryota; Metazoa; Arthropoda; Insecta; Diptera; Tephritidae.